GCCAGUCCCUCCACAGCACGUUGAGUUGGGUGGGGAACAGGCUAACCCUCCGAUCCCCCUGUCAGUUGAGGCUGCUCUGAACUCAACAUACUGCAAUCCCUGGCAUAUAUGUAAAUACUGUGCCCAAGAGCAACACACUCCAGUGCAGUAAGCACUGGAGUUUAUUGCAUCACAUUAAUAUGCAAGUGUGGACAAACAGCAUACUCAUAAUAACAUGAAGUUAACCAUCUAAGUGGUUCCUCUUUUCACGUGGGUUUUGCAGCUCAAUGAAUUCUAUGCCGUUGUGGCUACAUUGCUAGCAGUACCUAAGCCAGCUAACUUAAAGCUAGAUUCUUAUAUGCCUGCAUAAGAUACAGCUACAACUGUGGCUGGAGUGCAGGCAAAUCUUGCGAGUCAGAGAGAAGAGGCUGUGCAGUGGAAGCAGUUCAGGAUGAACUCAACAGGACUGGAACAUCAGGCCCUCAUUUAUGAGCUUCAUGAGCCAGCAUGGUAAAGCAGAAGCCCUCAUUUGCUUCUGUCAGAUCCCUACUUUGCAGAUGAUGUCUUUGGAAACCACAAUCCUCUAGCUGAAGCAUAUGGACAGCAGCAGUGAUGGCUUCCCUAACACUGUCCAGCCCCUGGUCCCUAGAAGACCACUACAAAGGACAAGAAUACUGAUUAGCUUCCACACUCAACCUGUCUUUGGCUUCUUUGCUGCCAGU
This is a long non-coding RNA of Gavialis gangeticus (Gharial), 701 nucleotides long. RefSeq lists it as uncharacterized. The transcript is spliced from 3 exons. NCBI's taxonomy places the organism in Eukaryota, Metazoa, Chordata, Crocodylia, Gavialidae. The record is from RefSeq and is a predicted model, not a curated record.